Molecule: ribosomal RNA, 466 nt
Filed under: uncultured bacterium
Lineage: Bacteria
Description: bacterial SSU rRNA
Rfam family: Bacterial small subunit ribosomal RNA
Source: RNAcentral
GCCAGACUCCUACGGGAGGCAGCAGUGAGGAAUAUUGGUCAAUGGGCGCGAGCCUGAACCAGCCAAGUAGCGUGAAGGAUGACUGCCCUACGGGUUGUAAACUUCUUUUAUAAAGGAAUAAAGUGAGGCACGUGUGCCUUUUUGUAUGUACUUUAUGAAUAAGGAUCGGCUAACUCCGUGCCAGCAGCCGCGGUAAUACGGAGGAUCCGAGCGUUAUCCGGAUUUAUUGGGUUUAAAGGGAGCGUAGAUGGGUUGUUAAGUCAGUUGUGGAAGUUUGCGGCUCAACCGUAAAAUUGCAAUUGAUACUGGCAGCCUUGAGUACAGUUGAGGUAGGCGGAAUUCGUGGUGUAGCGGUGAAAUGCAUAGAUAUCACGCAGAACUCCGAUUGCGAAGGCAGCAUACCGGCGCGCAACUGACGCUCAUGCACGAAAGCGUGGGUAUCGAACAGGAUUAGAUACCCCUGUAU